UGGGGAAUAUUGCACAAUGGGCGCAAGCCUGAUGCAGCCAUGCCGCGUGUGUGAAGAAGGCCUUCGGGUUGUAAAGCACUUUCAGCGGGGAGGAAGGCGAUAAGGUUAAUAACCUCAUCGAUUGACGUUACCCGCAGAAGAAGCACCGGCUAACUCCGUGCCAGCAGCCGCGGUAAUACGGAGGGUGCAAGCGUUAAUCGGAAUUACUGGGCGUAAAGCGCACGCAGGCGGUCUGUCAAGUCGGAUGUGAAAUCCCCGGGCUCAACCUGGGAACUGCAUGCGAAACUGGCAGGCUAGAGUCUUGUAGAGGGGGGUAGAAUACCAGGUGUAGCGGUGAAAUGCGUAGAGAUCUGGGGGAAUACCGGUGGCGAAGGCGGCCCCCUGGACAAAGACUGACGCUCAGGUGCGAAAGCGUGGGGAGCAAACAGG
RNAcentral lists this ribosomal RNA (429 nucleotides) under Chloroflexota bacterium. RNAcentral's name for it is "Chloroflexi bacterium partial 16S ribosomal RNA". It matches the Rfam family "Bacterial small subunit ribosomal RNA", at positions 355 to 776 of the family's 1533-position model. The record is from RNAcentral. Lineage: Bacteria; Bacillati; Chloroflexota.